Molecule: ribosomal RNA, 497 nt
Filed under: uncultured bacterium
Lineage: Bacteria
Description: partial 16S ribosomal RNA
Rfam family: Bacterial small subunit ribosomal RNA
Source: RNAcentral
GAUGAACGCUGGCGGCGUGCCUAAUACAUGCAAGUCGAGCGAACGGACGAGAAGCUUGUUUUUCUGAUGUUAGCGGCGGACGGGUGAGUAACACGUGGAUAACCUACCUAUAAGUCUGGGAUAACUUCGGGAAAACGGAGCUAAUACCGGAUCAUAUUUUGAACCGCAUGGUUCAAAAGUGAAAGACGGUCUUGCUGUUACUUUUAGACGGAUCCGCGCUGCAUUAGCUAGUUGGUAAGGUAACGGCUUACCAAGGCAACGAUGCAUAGCUGACCUGAGAGGAUGAUCAGCCACACUGGAACUGAGACACGGUCCAGACUCCUACGGGAGGCAGCAGUAGGGAAUCUUCCGCAAUGGGCGAAAGCCUGACGGAGCAACGCCGCGUGAGUGAUGAAGGUCUUCGGAUCGUAAAACUCUGUUAUUAGGGAAGAACAUAUGUGUAAGUAACUGUGCACAUCUUGACGGUACCUAAUCAGAAAGCCACGGCUAACUUCGUG